This 744-nucleotide long non-coding RNA is filed under the name Vigna radiata. RNAcentral's name for it is "long non-coding RNA (VRAD_LNC000426)". The record is from RNAcentral. Lineage: Eukaryota; Viridiplantae; Streptophyta; Magnoliopsida; Fabales; Fabaceae.
UAAGUGAAUAUGACAAAAUAAUGAUUCAUCAAUAGGUAGAGGCCGAUAGGUUGAGGCCGAUAGGUAGAGCUCGAGAGGUCGAGGUAGAGAGGUUGAGAUCGAAAUGUAAAGGCCGAGAGAUUGAGACCGACAGGUAGAGAUCGAGAUGUCAUGGUAGAGAGGUCGAGAGGUCAAGAGGUUAAGGUCUAGAUGUUAAGACUGAGAAGUCGAGGUCGAGUAGAGGCUGAGUGGUCAAGGCCUAUAGGUAGAGGCCAAGAUGUUGAGGUAGAGAGGUUGAGGUCAAUAUGUAGAGGCUGAGAGAUUAAAGCCAAUAUGUUAAGACUGAAAAGUUAAGAUUGAAAUAUUGAGGCUAACAAGUAGAGGAGAACAUGUUAAGACUAAGAAAUCAAGGCUGACGUGUAAAGGCCAAGAGGUUAAGGCUGGCAAGGAGAGGUUGAGAUGGUGAGGUAGAGAGGUAUAUGCUAAUAUAUAGAGGUCGGGAUGUUAAGACUGAGAUGUUGAGGUCGACAUAUAGAGGUCGAGAGGUCAAGGAUGACAAGUAAAUGCCAAGAUUUCGAUAAAAAGAGGUUAAGGUCGAUAUAUGGAGGCCGAGAGGUUGAUGCCUAGAUGUUAAGAUUGAAAAUUCGAGGCUGGCAUGUAGAGUUUGGCAUGUUAAGACAAAGAAGUCGAGGCCAACAUGUAGAGGUUGAGAGGUUGAGGCCGAUAGAUACAGGCCGACAAAUACAGGCCGAGAUGUCAAGGUAG